RNAcentral lists this unclassified non-coding RNA (403 nucleotides) under soil metagenome. Its description in RNAcentral is "partial contains 5.8S ribosomal RNA, internal transcribed spacer 2, and large subunit ribosomal RNA". The stretch from base 1 to 121 matches the Rfam family "5.8S ribosomal RNA", at positions 35 to 154 of the family's 154-position model. The record is from RNAcentral.
GAUGAAGAACGCAGUGAAAUGCGAUAAGUAAUGUGAAUUGCAGAAUUCAGUGAAUCAUCGAAUCUUUGAACGCACCUUGCGCCCUUUGGCUAUUCCGAAGGGCAUGCCUGUUUGAGUAUCAUGAACACCUCAACUCUCAUGGUUUGCCAUGAUGAGCUUGGACUUUGGGGGUCUUGCCGGCCUAUGGGUCGGCUCCUCUCAAAUUAAUCAGCUUGCCAGUGUUUGGUGGCAUCACAGGUGUGAUAACUAUCUACGCUUGUGGUUUUCCAUCAGGUAACCUUCAGUGAUGGAGGUUCGCUGGGGCUCAUAAAUGUCUCUCCUCAGUGAGGACAGCUUUUUUGAACGUUUGAUCUCAAAUCAGGUAGGACUACCCGCUGAACUUAAGCAUAUCAAUAGCGGAGGA